RNAcentral lists this ribosomal RNA (520 nucleotides) under uncultured Acaulospora. RNAcentral describes it as "SSU rRNA". It matches the Rfam family "Eukaryotic small subunit ribosomal RNA", at positions 569 to 1088 of the family's 1831-position model. The record is from RNAcentral. Lineage: Eukaryota; Fungi; Glomeromycota; Glomeromycetes; Diversisporales; Acaulosporaceae.
AGCAGCCGCGGUAAUUCCAGCUCCAAUAGCGUAUAUUAAAGUUGUUGCAGUUAAAAAGCUCGUAGUUGAAUUUCGGGGUUCAUCCGUUGGUCGGGCUUUUUUGGUCUGUACUGGCGUGAUGGAUUCCUACCUUCUGAAUAACCGGCAUGCCAUUAAUUUGGUGCGCCGGGGAAGCAGGACUGUUACCUUGAAAAAAUUAGAGUGUUUAAAGCAGGCUUACGCUUGAAUACAUUAGCAUGGAAUAAUGAAAUAGGACGUAUGAUCCUAUUUUGUUGGUUUCUAGGAUUGACGUAAUGAUUAAUAGGGAUAGUUGGGGGCAUUAGUAUUCAAUUGUCAGAGGUGAAAUUCUUGGAUUUAUUGAAGACUAACUACUGCGAAAGCAUUUGCCAAGGAUGUUUUCAUUAAUCAAGAACGAAAGUUAGGGGAUCGAAGACGAUCAGAUACCGUCGUAGUCUUAACCAUAAACUAUGCCGACUAGGGAUCGGAUGAUGUUAAUUUUUUAAUGACUCAUUCGGCGCCU